CCUUCAUUUUUGGGACUGAUAUGUGUAGAAGGUGUUAUACACAAAGGUGGAUAGGUGAUUGUUUCCCAAAAAACAUCUCCAGGUUAGUCAAGGUAAGGCAACGUGUUUGAUUUAUGUUCUUUGGCAUUAGGUUUAUGGAGGAAGAUGAUAAAGAACUUAUCUGUGUCUCUCAAGACCAGCGAUUAGAAAACCUUUUUGUUGCAGUUAGGGAUCCGACGCUAACACAACUACGGUGGUUGCUAUGGUUGAUCUCAGCGAUAUUGGAAUAGUUCUAUCUCAAGGUUUAUUGAAUCUGGCGAUCGUCAUCAUCGCUGGAAAUUGGUUCUGAGCUGUCAUCGUCGAUUUCAUUAGAACCCUAGCAGCGGUGAUGUUGAUUGGCUUGGGCGUCGAUUACCAGAACCAUGAAUGGCGCUUUGGUGGAAGACGGUGGAGUUUAGUGAUGGUAGUCAUGAAUCCGGCAGCUACUAAGGUUUUAAAGUUAGUGGCGUUCGUUUCUUCUAUCUGCGUCGGGAACAAUACGAUCUUGAAGCAUGGUUUGAGCAUUUUAAAAGACCCCAAUAAACGCUCUGCUCUUGGUCCAGAAGGUUAGUUUAAAUUUCAAAUAAUAUGUACGCUCUAGACGGCCUUGCAUGUAAUUUCAAAUAAUGUGGUGUUUGUGAUGGUGAUUUGAUCUGCCACAACUUUUCUCAAUGAAAAGGACACGCUUUAGAGAAACAACAAGACAUGGGUGUCGAAAAUGUAGGUUUCGCUCCAGUGGUGAUCGAUUGUGAAGAAAGGUUGUUGCCUGGUCGGAGAAGAAGACUCAAAGGGUAACACCUCUGCUUCUUUGGGCGUGAAGGAUGGGUGACGUUGAGUUUUUUCGGAUUGGAGCACGCCGGUGAUGAGGGGGGCUUUGGCUGGAUAAGAAGAAGGGUGGGGUGGCACAAUAAUAUGUUGUUCUCUGAGUCUCAAUUUCAUCCCCAAUAACUCAAAAAAGGCAAUUGAAUCGCGCUUAAGACCUUCCUGUUCACUUGGCGCUAACAUGGCAUUGCCUUAUAUUGUUAACCGAUUGCAACUGGCAGUUGAAAGGGGGAUUUCUAGAGUUGAAAGUUCUACAGAUGCAGU
RNAcentral lists this long non-coding RNA (1104 nucleotides) under Helianthus annuus (common sunflower). The record is from RNAcentral. Lineage: Eukaryota; Viridiplantae; Streptophyta; Magnoliopsida; Asterales; Asteraceae.